This 85-nucleotide microRNA precursor is filed under the name Podiceps cristatus (great crested grebe). RNAcentral describes it as "mir-128 microRNA precursor family". It matches the Rfam family "mir-128 microRNA precursor family". The record is from Rfam by way of RNAcentral. Lineage: Eukaryota; Metazoa; Chordata; Aves; Podicipediformes; Podicipedidae.
AUGCAGCUGGAAGGGGGGCCGUUACACUGUAAGAGAGUGAGUAGCAGGUCUCACAGUGAACCGAACUGCUGUGUCAUGCCAUUCC